RNAcentral lists this ribosomal RNA (440 nucleotides) under uncultured bacterium. RNAcentral's name for it is "partial 16S ribosomal RNA". It matches the Rfam family "Bacterial small subunit ribosomal RNA", at positions 338 to 795 of the family's 1533-position model. The record is from RNAcentral.
CCUACGGGUGGCAGCAGUAGGGAAUAUUGCUCAAUGGGGGAAACCCUGAAGCAGCAACGCCGCGUGGAGGAUGAAGGUUUUCGGAUUGUAAACUCCUUUUGUUAGAGAAGAAAAUGACGGUAUCUAACGAAUAAGCACCGGCUAACUCCGUGCCAGCAGCCGCGGUAAUACGGAGGGUGCAAGCGUUACACGGAAUCACUGGGCGUAAAGGGCGCGUAGGCGGGAUAGCAAGUCAGAUGUGAAAGCCUGUAGCUUAACUACAGAACUGCAUUUGAAACUGUGAGUCUAGAGUGUGGGAGAGGUAGGUGGAAUUCUUGGUGUAGUGGUGAAAUCCGUAGAUAUCACGAAGAAUACUCAUUGCGAAGGCGGCCUACUGGAACAUUACUGACGCUCAUGCACGAAAGCGUGGGGAGCAAACAGGAUUAGAUACCCGUGUAGUC